AUUCUAUGGCUAAUACAUGCGCAAAUAUCUUUUUUCGCAAGAAAGAGGAUAGUGUUUAUUAGAUACAGAACCAAUACACCAUCUGUUAACAGCAGGUGGUGUAAAAAAGGUGAUUCAUAGUAACCGAACGGAUCGCAUUAUGGUCAUUUUAUAUGGCUGGCGAUAGAUCAUUCAAGUUUCUGACCUAUCAGCUUUCGACGGUAGUGUAUUGGACUACCGUGGCAGUGACGGGUAACGGGGAAUUAGGGUUCGAUUCCGGAGAGGGAGCCUGAGAAACGGCUACCACAUCUAAGGAAGGCAGCAGGCGCGCAAAUUACCCAAUCCUGACUCAGGGAGGUAGUGACAAGAAAUAACAACACUGGAAAUUUUAUUUCUAGUGAUUGGAAUGAUGGGAAUUUAAACCCCUUUCAGAGUAACAAUUGGAGGGCAAGUCUGGUGCCAGCAGCCGCGGUAAUUCCAGCUCCAAUAGCGUAUAUUAAAGUUGUUGCAGUUAAAAAGCUCGUAGUUGGAUGUCUGCUGGAAGCAAUCAGUCCGCCCUAUUUGUAGGGUGUGCACUUGAUGAAUUCUGGCAUCUAUGUCCCAAUAAUAUGAUGGUGUAUACCCUGUGUACACCCAUCUAUAUUGGGAUAAUACCGUUACUUUGAGAAAAUUAGAGUGUUUGAAGCAGGCUAAUUGCCUUGAAUACUGCAGCAUGGAAUAACAAUAUAGGAUUUCGGUUCUAUUUUGUUGGUUUCUAGGACUGAAAUAAUGAUUAAUAGGGACAGUUGGGGGCAUUCGUAUUUA
Molecule: ribosomal RNA, 783 nt
Filed under: Sarcocystis cruzi
Lineage: Eukaryota; Apicomplexa; Conoidasida; Eucoccidiorida; Sarcocystidae
Description: SSU rRNA
Rfam family: Eukaryotic small subunit ribosomal RNA
Source: RNAcentral